This is a non-coding RNA of Centropristis striata (black sea bass), 363 nucleotides long. NCBI's taxonomy places the organism in Eukaryota, Metazoa, Chordata, Actinopteri, Perciformes, Serranidae. The record is from the annotation of a RefSeq genome assembly.
AUGAAGAUAUCACUGAUUCUACUGCUGCUCACCCUGGGGCUCCUUGUUCAGGGUUCAUCAGGAGACAUCAUCCUGACUCAGUCUCCUGGAUCUCAGUCUGUUGUUUCAGGAGAGACUGUCUCUAUCACAUGUAAAGCCAGUUCAGAUAUAGGCAGCUCUCUUCACUGGUAUCUUCAAAAAUCUGGACAACCUCCUAAACUCUUGAUUUAUUCUUCUACAAAUCGUCAGUCUGGAGUUGCAGGUCGUUUCAGUGGGAGUGGAUCUGGAACUGACUUCACUCUGACCAUCAGUGGAGUUCAGACUGAAGAUGCAGGAGAUUAUUACUGUUCACAGAGUGGUCACAGCUUCCCGUUCACACAGUGA